Molecule: unclassified non-coding RNA, 326 nt
Filed under: Hevea brasiliensis (rubber tree)
Lineage: Eukaryota; Viridiplantae; Streptophyta; Magnoliopsida; Malpighiales; Euphorbiaceae
Source: RNAcentral
CAGGAUUCUUGGAUAUUCAGCUGAAAAGGGGAAGAAAAGAAGGGUGAAGAUAGCUGCAUACAGGAAGGUUUAUGUGAAGCCAUCAAAGACACACCAACACACAACUUGGAGGUCUCAGAAGGAUGAGAAAUGGAAGCUCAAUUUUACUCCUCACUAUAAUGUGAUUGGCUUCUUUUACAUUAUCCUUGUGGCUGCUUCAAGCCGCCUUCAACCACCAAAGUAUGCAAGUCCUUCACCCACUACCAGCACCCUCUUGCUACAGGGGCUUUCAUUGGAACCUCAUGAAAAUCCUCUUUCAAGUUUGCAACUUGCGAGAAUGACCCAAA